GUCCUCCUUCCUCCCAACACGGCAGUGGCGCGCGGGGCCAUGGCGGUGGACGGCCAGAUCUGCACGGCGGCGACCCUCCAAGGUCCGGUGGCGGUCGGAUCCGCAUGGGUCUGGCGGCGCACCGAGCUCCGUGGCCGGAGUUCUGCAGCUCGCCAGGUGGAGCUCGCCGGCCAUGUGCGUCGCCCGCGCGGUCACGAUGGAAGGUUGCAGCCCCCACACGCGCCGCGGCGACGUUGCUCGCCAGAGUUGUGGCCCCCAUCAUUUCAGAUCUGCGGCCUUCUUCCUUACCCAGGAAGCCAAGCUUCUUCCUCAUCGGGAUCCACACGCCCUCGUCCUGCUAGGUUCCAUCCUCCGUCCCCUAUCCUCCUUCUCUGCUGUCGUGGUCAUUGCCUGGUUGCCAUUCUGUUGAUUGGGUCUUUGGGUGUUGCCUCUCGUCGUCCCAAGGUCCGCUUUGUUCCCCUUGCAGUUCUCCUGCUCCUCCCCGUUUUCCUUUGAUCCAUUAAUGGUUACCUUCUACUUCGAAUCUCUGAUGGUUUGACAUUGCAGGUUUCGUUCACGGUGCUUCUCUGCUCCUGCUUGGUCCCCAGGUGCUUGCCUUCUUCAAAAAAAAAAUUUUACAACAAAGGAAGCGACCAUGUCUGAUCCCCUCCAUGCAUCUUAAUCCUUCUGCUACAGAGAGGGUUUGCUGCCCGGUCGGGGAUCUCAACAAAAGAAACAAAACCAGAAAUAAGGCCUAUGAAAUUUCUUCCCUGCCUACUGCCGCCCUAAUUGGAGGUCCUUCACCGAAUGCAACAGAGAGUUUUGCCCAGGAGCUUGUUGAGAUGUCUGUUUCAGACCUAAAGUUGAAGGUACAUCAUCCCUCUUUGUAUGGUGAUGCUUGUCACAAGAAAUUUUUGAAUUCAGUUUUCAGUCAUCCAGUAUUUUAGGUUGUUCUGUUUGUAAUCAGAGACUGCCAGCCUUGGAACUUUUCUCAGUUACUUUCAAGGAAGGUGUAGAGCAUGAGGCAUUAUUAGAUUGAGAUGAUGAACUAUAUGAUGGUGAAUCAAGUGAACUUCAGAGUAUUGGCCUUCAGUCAGGUGGGACUUGCCCACUGCCUGAAAAUAGGCAUGUCGAUGUUUCAGGAAGUCGACGACCUGUCAAUCCCCCUUCAUACGAGCACAGUAGCAAGAUCAACUGAAGCUCCACUAGCUAGCCAUCAAACAAGCUACGGUACGCGCACAGUCAUUCCUCAAUGGCUGACAGGUUGGCUUUCCCUAAUCUCUCCUCCUUCCUUGUUGCCUUUUAGAAUUUUACCACUGUUUAGAUAGAAGUUUUGAUGCUCCCUGUGGAUAUUUGAUUUAUCAUAGCGCCAACUCAUAAAAGGAAUCCUCAUGCUAUUACUUUUUCUCCUGAACAAACUAAUUAAGUUGGUCUAUUAGGUUCUUAGAUUUGCUGUCACUAAACAGUAUGUAUAUCUCUUGCAGGUCAUUUCGACUUCGUUUAAAUAUUUUCUCUAUUUUGAAUAUUGAUAUUUGCACCUGUUUCAAUGAUCCUGAGCUAUCCAUGUCUUGAAGGCAUAUGAUACAAUGACAGUAAGCUGAGUGGGUUACAUUAGUAUCUAGAUAAAAAAUGUGGUUCCUAUCUAUUCUAGGCAAUAAUAUUGAAUGGUAUGUUUUAAUUAAAUACUCAAAAUACAGAGUAAACAUGCUACUGAUUGAGUAGAUGGCAGCAACAUUGCUUUGCCGGUGAGAUAAUCUUUCAAUAUUAAUUAAAAUGCAGCAAUGGUACUUUUACCUCUUAUGUCCACAGGCCACCUAUUUUUCCUCCUGAUCUUGCAAGUUGGUAGCUUUGUUGUUCUACAAGCUUACACUGAUAAGGAUAAGGAUGAAUAUUCUGCACUCUAAGUUGGGCUCCAGAUCAUGUUAAUGGCUCUCCACUGCAGGUAGCAGCAUCAAACAAUAGGAUCAUUCGGUCCAUCAAUUAUUACAUCCUGGAGCUUGUGAAUAUGAAUUUUUUUUCUUGUGUUUAUACAUAGAUUGGACCUUGACAGGACAUGAACAAGUACAUUUUGUUUUCUUCAUGUUCACAUUUCGAUCAAUGAAUAAGGAUAGUUGUUUUCUCCAUGUUCACACGUUGGCCAGUAUAUAUGAAAGGCAGGAAGAAAUGAAACCAUUUUACCA
Panicum virgatum (switchgrass) is the source of this 2159-nucleotide RNA transcript. RefSeq lists it as uncharacterized. The transcript has 5 exons. The record is from RefSeq and is a predicted model, not a curated record. NCBI's taxonomy places the organism in Eukaryota, Viridiplantae, Streptophyta, Magnoliopsida, Poales, Poaceae.